This 229-nucleotide long non-coding RNA is filed under the name Elaeis guineensis (African oil palm). RNAcentral describes it as "long non-coding RNA (EGUI_LNC040606)". Lineage: Eukaryota; Viridiplantae; Streptophyta; Magnoliopsida; Arecales; Arecaceae. The record is from RNAcentral.
GCCCCUCAUUAUAUUCCUUAUUGAUUCUUUCAAUCUUGAGACGAACAAACUUGUCUCCUUUGUUAAAGUUUUCUAUAUUACCAAGCCAAGCAGAAUGAUAUAUUCUUGAUUUGGAAUUUUAAGAUGACUUUCAGUAUACACUCCGUGCUUGUGAAAUGUUAGGGCAUCCUCCUAGAAUAUGCUAUCGUAUUUAUUGUAGCCUUGCACUCUUGGCAAUAAUACAGCUCUA